RNAcentral lists this ribosomal RNA (443 nucleotides) under uncultured bacterium. RNAcentral describes it as "partial 16S ribosomal RNA". It matches the Rfam family "Bacterial small subunit ribosomal RNA", at positions 338 to 795 of the family's 1533-position model. The record is from RNAcentral.
CCUACGGGAGGCAGCAGUGGGGAAUAUUGGCCAAUGGGCGCAAGCCUGACCCAGCAACGCCGCGUGAAGGAAGAAGGCUUUCGGGUUGUAAACUUCUUUUCUCAGGGACGAAGAAAGUGACGGUACCUGAGGAAUAAGCCACGGCUAACUACGUGCCCGCAGCCGCGGGAAUACGUAGGUGGCAAGCGUUAUCCGGAUUUACUGGGUGUAAAGGGCGUGUAGGCGGGAAAGCAAGUCAGAUGUGAAAACCAUGGGCUCAACCUGUGGCCUGCAUUUGAAACUGUUUUUCUUGAGUACUGGAGAGGCAGACGGAAUUCGUAGUGUAGCGGUGAAAUGCGUAGAUAUUAGGAGGAACACCAGUGGCGAAGGCGGUCUGCUGGACAGCAACUGACGCUGAGGCGCGAAAGCGUGGGGAGCAAACAGGAUUAGAUACCCUUGUAGUC